RNAcentral lists this transfer RNA (74 nucleotides) under Actinoplanes campanulatus. RNAcentral describes it as "tRNA-Phe". It matches the Rfam family "tRNA". Rfam says of the family: Transfer RNA (tRNA) molecules are approximately 80 nucleotides in length. Lineage: Bacteria; Bacillati; Actinomycetota; Actinomycetes; Micromonosporales; Micromonosporaceae. The record is from RNAcentral.
GCCCAUCAAGCUCAGACGGCGGAGCAUCCGGUUGAAGCCCGGGAGGUGCGCGGUUCGAUUCCGCGGGUGGGUGC